RNAcentral lists this ribosomal RNA (943 nucleotides) under Hyperiidea sp. AC-2010. RNAcentral's name for it is "bacterial SSU rRNA". It matches the Rfam family "Eukaryotic small subunit ribosomal RNA", at positions 53 to 812 of the family's 1831-position model. The record is from RNAcentral. Lineage: Eukaryota; Metazoa; Arthropoda; Malacostraca; Amphipoda.
GCAUGCCUAAGUACAGCUCGGUGGGGUAACCUACCGGGCGAAACCGCAGACGGCUCAUUAAAUCAGUUGUGGUCUAAGUGGGCUACAGUUCUCCUUAUUUGGAUAACUGUGGAAAAUCCAGAGCUAAUACAUGCGAUUAAAGUCCUCAGCCAAAGCUUUGCACUUGUGUACGGUGACUAACUGGGGAUGCUUUUAUUAGACCGAGGCGCGCGCACACGUAGUUUAGCGCUUGUCUUUACGGACGAGAAUGCGGCUGCUUGUGUGUCGCACGUAAGCGCUUUAAGGUGACUCUGAAUAACAUUGAUAAGCGUGCUUUAACUAGCACGCUGCCUACUUACGAGUGACUGCCCUAUCAGCUACUAACGUAUGUUAUACGCGAACGUUGGCUAUAACGGGUAACGGGGAAUCAGAGUUCGAUUCCGGAGAGGCAGCCUGAGAAACGGCUACCACGUCUAAGGACGGCAGCAGGCACGCAAAUUACCCAAUCCCAGCACAUGGGGGAGGUAGUGACGAUAGAUACUGAUGCGGGUCGUUCUUCGGAACACUCGCAAUUGGAAUGGCUAUUUUCUAAACACCCUAUCGAGAACCUACUGGAGGGCAAGCCUGGUGCCAGCAGCCGCGGUAAUUCCAGCUCCAGUGGCGUAUGCCAAUGUUGCUGCGGUUAAAAGGCUCGCAGUUGAAUGUCGGUUAAUAUACGCGUAGAGGUGCCGGGACGUUGCGAGCUUUGUUGCCUCGUGCAUCAUUGUGAGCCGUCUCUCCAGUGCAUCUCUCGCGGGCUAACGAUUAGAUUGACGGCACAGAGUGUUGCUCUUUCACGCAAGUGUUUGGGCUUCGCUCACACGUGUCGUCGGUUGACACCUUGAGUAAAUCAAGUGCUUAAAGCAGUCGUUGAAACACUAGGCUGCGACUUACCCUCUCGCGAGGCUAAAUCGUAUGUCUAUGG